Long non-coding RNA from Microtus oregoni (creeping vole), 330 nucleotides. RefSeq lists it as uncharacterized. The record is from RefSeq and is a predicted model, not a curated record. The transcript has 3 exons. Lineage: Eukaryota; Metazoa; Chordata; Mammalia; Rodentia; Cricetidae.
GUCUUCUCAAGGCGGAAUUUGGUGAAACUCAUCAUUUUUCAGGUUACCGAUAAUGCAAGUUUGGAAAGUGAAAGAGGAAGAACGCAGGCUGAGAAAGCUUUUAUCCAGCCGCAGAGUCUCUCCAGAUGCAAGGAACCUAUCCUCUAUCUUUGCUGCCCAAACUGAUGUCACGCUCUAAGGGACUGACUGGAUUUGCUAAACUGCAACAAGAUACCUUCAAAACCCCCGACUGCCUGCAGUGUGGGGCGGGGACCUGAGAAUCAAGGCCAGGACAGGCAACUACUCUCCCUAAGAUGGAGGCUGCAUGAUGUAAGUGGCUGGCUAAAAUAU